CCCCUCUCCCAUUCCAUCUCUUCUAUCCCCCUCUCUCCCAUUCCAUCUCCUCUAUCCCCUCUCUCCCAUUCCUUUUCCUCUAUCCCCUCUCUCCCAUUCCAUCUCUUCUAUCCCCUCUCUCCCAUUCCUUCUCCUCUAUCCCCCUCUCCCAUUCCUUCUCCUUAACACCCCUCUCCCAUUCCUUAUCCUCUAUCCCCUCUGUCCCAUUUCUUCCCAUCUACCCCUCUCCCAUUCCUUCUCCUCUAUUCCCUCUCUCCCAUUCCUUCUCCUCUAUCCCCUCUCUCCCAUUCCAUCUCCUCUAUCCCCCCUCUCCCAUUCCUUCUCCUCGACACCCACUCUCCCAUUCCAUCUCCUCUAUUCCCUCUCUCCCAUUCCUUUCUCUCUACCCCCUCUCUCUCAUUCUCCAGUGCCUUAUCCUCAGGGUUGGGGAGUUUACAUGUAACGGUAACUGUAAUCCGUUACAAACGAAAAUAUUGUAAUCAGAUUACAGAUACUUUUGAAAAACUAGAAGAUUAUUUCCAGGGUUACUUUUAAAUUCAGAAAGGAUGUUUCUGAAAAAAAAUAUUGACACCUCUCUGUUUUCUCAAUGACAUUCAAAUCAGCAUUGAAGAAGGCGCAAAUGUAUUAAGUUUGUUCCACCUGAGCGAGUCUGACCACAAGUCAGAGACCACUAUGAUAACACAUCAAAUGUGUUUGAUGGAUCGCGGGAAAAGAGCAGGAAAGGGCUAUUGUGGGUUUCAGUCCAAGCCAUGUCUUCCAAUGGUGUGACUGCUGUCGGCAUCCAAAGAUGAUCCAACUUGAAUAAAGGCUUGGAGGUAAAGGAUGACAGUAGUGGUGUCGUCUACAGUGAUACCGAUAUCACUAAUUACUGAUAUCUACAUAGCGUAUUGAUGUGAAUCACACUGCUGCUCUCUUAUUUAGCUAUUUUUGCCUUACGGAUUGUGGUUGUAUGUUCACAAAUCUAAAUGUGGUUUUGAACCCAAUAAUGGUUGAAUUCAAGAAGUUGCAUAGUGCGGAUCCCAGCAUAUGGAAUAACAGUUGCAUAGUGCGGAUCCCAGCAUAUGGAAUAACAGCUGCAUAGUGCGGAUCCCAGCAUAUGGAAUAACAGCUGCAUAGUGCAGAUCCCAGCAUAUGGAAUAACAGCUGCACAGUGCAGAUCCCAGCAUAUGGAAUAACAGCUGCAUAGUGCGGAUCCCAGCAUAUGGAAUAACAGCUGCACAGUGCAGAUCCCAGCAUAUGGAAUAACAGCUGCAUAGUGCGGAUCCCAGCUAAUGGAAUAACAGCUGCAUAGUGCGGAUCCCAGCAUAUGGAAUAACAGCUGCAUAGUGCGGAUCCCAGCUAAUGGAAUAACAGCUGCAUAGUGCAGAUCCCAGCAUAUGGAAUAACAGCUGCACAGUGCAGAUCCCAGCAUAUGGAAUAACAGCUGCAUAGUGCAGAUCCCAGCAUAUGGAAUAACAGCUGCACAGUGCAGAUCCCAGCAUAUGGAAUAACAGCUGCAUAGUGCGGAUCCCAGCAUAUGGAAUAACAGCUGCAUAGUGCGGAUCCCAGCAUAUGGAAUAACAGCUGCAUAGUGCGGAUCCCAGCAUAUGGAAUAACAGCUGCAUAGUGCAGAUCCCAGCAUAUGGAAUAACAGCUGCACAGUGCGGAUCCCAGCAUAUGGAAUAACAGCCGCAUAGUGCGGAUCCCAGCAUAUGGAAUAACAGCUGCAUAGUGCAGAUCCCAGCAUAUGGAAUAACAGCUGCAUAGUGCGGAUCCCAGCAUAUGGAAUAAACGUGGUGCUUUUAUUGCACAAUAUAAUUCAAGUUGAUAAAAAUAAAUCCAUAGGCCUACUGGACACAUGCUCAAACUCCUUCACUUUUGAUAGACUUAAAGGGUCAAUCUGUAGAUGGUACAUCCAUUUUUGGACUUAUACAUUAUAUAUACCUGUAUAUAUCCAUUAAUUGUUGAAGAAUAUAACUUAUAAAUGCCUCAUGAGCUUAGUUCAACAGCCACACUCCAUCAGAACCCAAAAUAGAAGCUUGUUUUUCUCCAAUGUUUGUAAACAUUGUAAAUGUAAUCAAACAAGGUAUAGCCUCAUAACAUACUGUAGUUAAAACUAUAAUUUUGAUAUCAUGGAUGGUCAGUCCUUACAUCCGUAGCUCUGUCUAUUCAUCUGAGAGUGGUUACAUUUCUCCAGGCCCAUCCCUCCGCUUUUUACCAAAACAGAGGCGGGGUGCCCAUUUUGUUAUUGUUUCAUCUGUGGAGUUGCCCUUUAAACAGCUGCAUAUUAUCAAGAUAUCAAAGUGUCGCCAACUAAAAGGUAAACAAUAGACAUAUAGCAAAUGCAGCACAUGGCAUUCAUUUUUCACAUGUAAAUAGCACUUUUCAGUGUUCAAAGCUUGCCAUUCCACGAGCGAAGCAUUUAUUUUUUCAAUUAGAAUCAAUAAACCCAAUCAGUCCUCAACGACAAAAUCAUAAACAACACAGUAGGGCUGGCUAAUAAGUCCUUCGUUUUGGGGUUAUACUCAGAUAAAACCGUUUGGCUGAUCUAUACUUCUGUAUUUCCAAGUCCUAUUCUUGAAGGUCAAGGGGUAUAUCAUUUAUUGUAAUGACUGGAAUUCUGAUAGACUGGUUUUUAAUGUAAAUAUAUAGUUUAAUCGUUGGAGUAGAAAGCGAUGGGUUAGAAGAAGCCUACAUAACCCAUAAAGUCAAAUGUAACACCCAUUUAUGACCAGCUAUGUAAACUUUAACAUUGAUUUAUCCUGCAAUGUCGUUCAAUUGGUAACAUACAUUUUUGUCUUCUUCUUAUACCUCUUAAGGGGAAAGUCAUCUAAAAUAAAUGUAAUGUAAUCAGAUUAUGUUACUGAGUUUGGGUAAUCCAAAAGUUUUAUUUCUGAUUACAAUUUUGGACAGGUAACUUGUUUAGAAAGUAACCUACCCAACCCUGCUUAUCCUACAGUGCCUUCUCCUGUCUCUCCUCUACCCCCCCCUCUCUGAUUCCAUCUCCUAUACCCUAGUCCCAUUCCCUAGGGCCUGUCUCUCCUCUACCCCACUCUCCCAUUCCAUCUCCUAUACCCUAGUCCCAUUCCAUCUCCUAUACCCUAGUCCCAUUCCAUCUCCUAUACUCUAGUCCCAUUCCAUCUCCUAUACCCUAGUCCCAUUCCAUCUCCUAUACCCUAGUCCCAUUCCAUCUCCUAUACCCUAGUCCCAUUCCAUCUCCUAUACCCUAGUCCCAUUCCAUCUCCUAUACUCUAGUCCCAUUCCAUCUCCUAUACCCUAGUCCCAUUCCAUCUCCUAUACUCUAGUCCCAUUCCAUCUCCUAUACUCUAGUCCCAUUCCAUCUCCUAUACCCUAGUCCCAUUCCAUCUCCUAUACUCUAGUCCCAUUCCAUCUCCUAUACCCUAGUCCCAUUCCAUCUCCUAUACCCUAGUCCCAUUCCAUCUCCUAUACCCUAGUCCCAUUCCAUCUCCUAUACCCUAGUCCCAUUCCAUCUCCUAUACCCUAGUCCCAUUCCAUUUCCUAUACCCUAGUCCCAUUCCAUCUCCUAUACCCUAGUCCCAUUCCAUCUCCUAUACCCUAGUCCCAUUCCAUCUCCUAUAUCCUAGUCCCAUUCCAUCUCCUAUACCCUAGUCCCAUUCCAUCUCCUAUACCCUAGUCCCAUUCCAUCUCCUAUAUCCUAGUCCCAUUCCAUCUCCUAUAUCCUAGUCCCAUUCCAUCUCCUAUACCCUAGUCCCAUUUCAUCUCCUAUACCCUAGUCCCAUUUCAUAUCCUAUACCCUAGUCCCAUUCCAUCUCCUAUACCCUAGUCACAUUCCAUCUCCUAUACCCUAGUCCCAUUCCAUCUCCUAUACCCUAGUCCCAUUCCAUCUCCUAUACCCUAGUCCCAUUCCAUCUCCUAUAUCCUAGUCCCAUUCCAUCUCCUAUACCCUAGUCCCAUUCCAUCUCCUAUACCCUAGUCCCAUUCCAUCUCCUAUAUCCUAGUCCCAUUCCAUCUCCUAUAUCCUAGUCCCAUUCCAUCUCCUAUAUCCUAGUCCCAUUCCAUCUCCUAUAUCCUAGUCCCAUUCCAUCUCCUAUACCCUAGUCCCAUUCCAUCUCCUAUAUCCUAGUCCCAUUCCAUCUCCUAUAUCCUAGUCCCAUUCCAUCUCCUAUAUCCUAGUCCCAUUCCAUCUCCUAUAUCCUAGUCCCAUUCCAUCUCCUAUACCCUAGUCCCAUUCCAUCUCCUAUACCCUAGUCCCAUUCCAUCUCCUAUACCCUAGUCCCAUUCCAUCUCCUAUAUCCUAGUCCCAUUCCCUAGGGCCUUAUCCUACAGUGCCUUCUAUACCCCCUUUCCAUUUUUAUUUUUAUUUACCCAGGAAAAGCCUAUUGAGACACAGUCUCUUUUUCAAGGGAGACCUGGCCAAGAAGGCAUUAACAAUCAAUACAUUACAGAAUUAAAACAUACAACAAUACAAUACAACAACGUGAUCCAGCCUAAGAAAAAGCAUUUACACUCCUCUGUAACAGAGUCUCCCAUCAAUAUUUUAAAUGAAUUCCGUGGCACUAACAUCAAUAGUGGAAAAAGUACCCAAUUGUCAUACUUGAGUAAAAGUAAAGAUACCUUAAUAGAAAAAGGCACUGCAUCUCAGUAAAGGCGUCACUACAGACCCUGGUUUGAUUCCAGGCUGUAUCACAUCCGGCUGUGAUUGGGAGUCCCAUAGUGCGUCGCACAAUUGGCCCAGUGUGGUCGGGAUUAGGGUUUGGCCGGGGAAGGCCCAGUGUGGUCGGGAUUAGGGUUUGGCCGGGGAAGGCCCAGUGUCGUCUGGAUUAGGGUUUGGCCGGGGAAGGCCCAGUGUCGUCUGGAUUAGGGUUUGGCCGGAGAAGGCCCAGUGUCGUCUGGAUUAGGGUUUGGCCGGAGAAGGCCCAGUGUCGUCUGGAUUAGGGUUUGGCUGGGGAAGGCCCAGUGUCGUCUGGAUUAGGGUUUGGCCGGGGAAGGCCGUCAUUGUAAAUAAGAAUUUGUUCUUAACUGACUUGCCUAGUUAAAUCAAGGUUAAAGAAAAUGGUAAAAGUGAAAGUCACACAGUAAAAUACUACUUGAGUAAAAGUAUUUGCUUUUAAAUGCUUUCUCCUAUAUCCCUUCCCAUUCCCUAGUGCCUUAUCCUACAGUACUUUCUCCCCUACCCAUUCCCUAGCGCCUUAUCCUACAGUACUUUCUCCCCUACCCAUUCCCUAGUGCCUUAUCCUACAGUACUUUCUCCCCUACCCAUUCCCUAGCGCCUUAUCCUACAGUACUUUCUCCCCUACCCAUUCCCUAGCGCCUUAUCCUACAGUAAUUUCUCCCCUACCCAUUCCCUAGCACCUUAUCCUACAGUAAUUUCUCCCCUACCCAUUCCCUAGCACCUUAUCCUACAGUACUUUCUCCCCUGCCCAUUCCCUAGCGCCUUAUCCUACAGUACUUUCUCCCCUGCCCAUUCCCUAGCGCCUUAUCCUACAGUAAUUUCUCCCCUACCCAUUCCCUAGCACCUUAUCCUACAGUACUUUCUCCCCUGCCCAUUCCCUAGCGCCUUAUCCUACAGUACUUUCUCCCCUGCCCAUUCCCUAGCGCCUUAUCCUACAGUGCUUUCUCCCCUACCCAUUCCCUAGCGCCUUAUCCUACAGUGCUUUCUCCCCUACCCAUUCCCUAGCGCCUUAUCCUACAGUGCUUUCUCCCCUACCCAUUCCCUAGCGCCUUAUCCUACAGUACUUUCUCCCCUACCCAUUCCCUAGCGCCUUAUCCUACAGUACUUUCUCCCCUACCCAUUCCCUAGCGCCUUAUCCUACAGUACUUUCUCCUAUACCCAUUCCCUAGCGCCUUAUCCUACAUUACUUUCUCGUAGACCCAUUCCCUAGCGCCUUAUCCUACAGUACUUUCUCCCCUACCCAUUCCCUAGCGCCUUAUCCUACAGUGCUUUCUCCUAUACCCAUUCCCUAGCGCCUUAUCCUACAGUACUUUCUCCCCUACCCAUUCCCUAGCGCCUUAUCCUACAGUACUUUCUCCUAUACCCAUUCCCUAGCGCCUUAUCCUACAGUACUUUCUCCUAUACCCAUUUCCUAGCGCCUUAUCCUACAGUACUUUGUCCCCUACCCAUUCCCUAGCGCCUUAUCCUACAGUGCUUUCUCCUAUACCAUUCCCUAGCGCCUUAUCCUACAGUACUUUCUCCCCUACCCAUUCCCUAGCGCCUUAUCCUACAGUGCUUUCUCCCUACCCAUUCCCUAGCGCCUUAUCUUACAGUGCUUUCAACCCUACCCAUUCCCUAGCGCCUUAUCCUACAGUACUUUCCCCCUACCCAUUCCCUAGCGCCUUAUCCUACAGUGCUUUCUCCCCUUCCCAUUCCCUAGCGCCUUAUCCUACAGUGCUUUCUCCCCUUCCCAUUCCCUAGCGCCUUAUCCUACAGUACUUUCUCCCCUACCCAUUCCCUAGCGCCUUAUCCUACAGUACUUUCUCCUAUACCCCUUCCCAUUCCCUAGCGCCUUAUCCUACAGUGUUUUCUCCCCUUCCCAUUCCCUAGCGCCUUAUCCUACAGUACUUUCUCCCCUACCCAUUCCCUAGCGCCUUAUCCUACAGUACUUUCUCCCCUACCCAUUCCCUAGCGCCUUAUCCUACAGUACUUUCUCCCCUACCCAUUCCCUAGCGCCUUAUCCUACAGUGCUUUCUCCCCUUCCCAUUCCCUAGCGCCUUAUCCUACAGUACUUUCUCCCCUACCCAUUCCCUAGCGCCUUAUCCUACAGUGUUUUCUCCCCUUCCCAUUCCCUAGGGCAUUAUUUUACAGUGCGUUCUCCUAUAUCCCUUCCCAUUCCCUAGCGCCUUAUCCUACAGUGCUUUCUCCCCUUCCCAUUCCCUAGGGCAUUAUUUUACAGUGCUUUCUCCUAUAUCCCUUCCCAUUCCCUAGCGCCUUAUCCUACAGUGGUUUCUCCCCUUCCCAUUCCCUAGGGCAUUAUUUUACAGUGCUUUCUCCUAUAUCCCUUCCCAUUCCCUAGCGCCUUAUCCUACAGUGCUUUCUCCCCUUCCCAUUCCCUAGCGCCUUAUCCUAUAGUGCUUUCUCCCCUUCCCAUUCCCUAGGGCAUUAUUUUACAGUGCGUUCUCCUAUAUCCCUUCCCAUUCCCUAGCGCCUUUUCCUACAUUGCUUUCUCCCCUUCCCAUUCCCUAGGGCAUUAUUUUACAGUGCUUUCUCCUAUAUCCCUUCCCAUUCCCUAGCGCCUUAUCCUACAGUACUUUCUCCUAUAUUCCUUCCCAUUCCCUAGCGCCUUAUCCUACAGUGCUUUCUCCCCUUCCCAUUCCCUUGCGCAUUAUCCUACAGUGCUUUCUCCUAUAUCCCUUCCCAUUCCCUAGCGCAUUAUCCUACAGUGCUUUCUCCCCUUCCCAUUCCCUAGCGCAUUAUCCUACAGUGCUUUCUCCCCUUCCCAAUCCCUAGCACAUUAUCCUACAGUGCUUUCUCCCCUACCCAUUCCCUAACGCCUUAUCCUACAGUACUUUCUCCUAUACCCAUUCCCUAGGCCAUUAUCCUACAGUGCUUUCUCCUAUACCCAUUCCAUAGCGCAUUAUCCUACAGUGCUUUCUCCCCUACCCAUUCCCUAGCGCCUUAUCUUACAGUGCUUUCAACCCUACCCAUUCCCUAGCGCCUUAUCCUACAGUACUUUCCCCCCUACCCAUUCCCUAGCGCCUUAUCCUACAGUGCUUUCUCCCCUUCCCAUUCCCUAGCGCCUUAUCCUACAGUGCUUUCUCCCCUUCCCAUUCCCUAGCGCCUUAUCCUACAGUACUUUCUCCCCUACCCAUUCCCUAGCGCCUUAUCCUACAGUACUUUCUCCUAUACCCCUUCCCAUUCCCUAGCGCCUUAUCCUACAGUGUUUUCUCCCCUUCCCAUUCCCUAGCGCCUUAUCCUACAGUACUUUCUCCCCUACCCAUUCCCUAGCGCCUUAUCCUACAGUACUUUCUCCCCUACCCAUUCCCUAGCGCCUUAUCCUACAGUACUUUCUCCCCUACCCAUUCCCUAGCGCCUUAUCCUACAGUGCUUUCUCCCCUUCCCAUUCCCUAGCGCCUUAUCCUACAGUACUUUCUCCCCUACCCAUUCCCUAGCGCCUUAUCCUACAGUGUUUUCUCCCCUUCCCAUUCCCUAGGGCAUUAUUUUACAGUGCGUUCUCCUAUAUCCCUUCCCAUUCCCUAGCGCCUUAUCCUACAGUGCUUUCUCCCCUUCCCAUUCCCUAGGGCAUUAUUUUACAGUGCUUUCUCCUAUAUCCCUUCCCAUUCCCUAGCGCCUUAUCCUACAGUGGUUUCUCCCCUUCCCAUUCCCUAGGGCAUUAUUUUACAGUGCUUUCUCCUAUAUCCCUUCCCAUUCCCUAGCGCCUUAUCCUACAGUGCUUUCUCCCCUUCCCAUUCCCUAGCGCCUUAUCCUAUAGUGCUUUCUCCCCUUCCCAUUCCCUAGGGCAUUAUUUUACAGUGCGUUCUCCUAUAUCCCUUCCCAUUCCCUAGCGCCUUUUCCUACAUUGCUUUCUCCCCUUCCCAUUCCCUAGGGCAUUAUUUUACAGUGCUUUCUCCUAUAUCCCUUCCCAUUCCCUAGCGCCUUAUCCUACAGUACUUUCUCCUAUAUUCCUUCCCAUUCCCUAGCGCCUUAUCCUACAGUGCUUUCUCCCCUUCCCAUUCCCUUGCGCAUUAUCCUACAGUGCUUUCUCCUAUAUCCCUUCCCAUUCCCUAGCGCAUUAUCCUACAGUGCUUUCUCCCCUUCCCAUUCCCUAGCGCAUUAUCCUACAGUGCUUUCUCCCCUUCCCAAUCCCUAGCACAUUAUCCUACAGUGCUUUCUCCCCUACCCAUUCCCUAACGCCUUAUCCUACAGUACUUUCUCCUAUACCCAUUCCCUAGGCCAUUAUCCUACAGUGCUUUCUCCUAUACCCAUUCCCUAGCGCAUUAUCCUACAGUGCUUUCUCCUAUACCCAUUCCCUAGCGCAUUAUCCUACAGUGCUUUCUCCUAUACUCAUUUCCUUGCACAUUAUCCUACAGUGCUUUCUCCUAUACCCAUUCCCUAGGGCAUUAUCCUACAGUGCUUUCUCCUAUACUCUAUACAAUCUGAAAAGAUUGUCAGUGUUUCGAGCUCCAGUCUUUUUCUGGAUGUAACCGUGUAACCAUUGAUUUCUUGUUAAGCUAAUAUUUAACCCGUCAAUGCUGUUUUUCUCUUGGCAGUAUAACUGACUACAUUUGAAGGUUUUAUGUGUUUCUGAGGGAAAACCCUACAAGAGGACAAGGAAGAAUAAUAUGAUUCAAAUAGACAGGAAGUAGAAAUGGCCUUUAUUGUUUACCAUAACACACAUCAUACACUAUCAUACAGCAUGUUAUUAAAACAGGACUAAACUAACUGAAGUUCUCAAUGGUGAUGUAAUAAUGACUUGUCAAUGGUGAUGUAAUAAUGACUUGUCAAUAGUGAUGUAAUAAUGACUUGUCAAUGGUGAUGUAAUAAUGACUUGUCAAUGGUGAUGACAUCUUGUUCUGUCUCUCCUCCAGCUGAGUAUGAGGACUGGUUUCACCAUCACUGACUUCUGAAGCUUCGGUUUUGACACUGGGAUAGGCUAUAUUUUACACUUUCCCUCAUUGGUGCUGAGAAUAGCUGGCCACUGUGACUCCCUUUUCUGUGUGUGAGAGAGAGUAAGACCAAGGGAGAGAUUAUUUGAAAAGAAGAGGAAGAAAUAUGAGUGCAGGAAAGAGUGAUAUGAUCCCUUAGCAUCUCAGAGCCAAGGACACACAAAACCACAUCUCGUUAGUUUGAGCAAUGCUUUUAGAUUUAUUUGACAGAAUAUUACAGUAGUGCUAUAACCCUUCACACAACCUCUAUAACCCUUCACACAGUUGCUAUAAGCCUUCCCUUUGCCCUUAUGUAGACAGGAUGGGCAGUGAGCUGAGACAUGCUCUGUAAUGAACAACACCUCAAAGCAAUGUGGAAAAAACACUCAUAUUUAUAUUAUUAUUUACAAAUCAUGUUCAAUUACAACAUUUUGAUAUCUGUCUAUUUCAAAAGACACUGCUUUUGGUCACGAAAACGUGUUUAUUGUUAUUCCAUUAUUUUUCUCAUCAAUAAAUAACUGUUCUCCAGUA
Oncorhynchus tshawytscha (Chinook salmon) is the source of this 10071-nucleotide long non-coding RNA. Lineage: Eukaryota; Metazoa; Chordata; Actinopteri; Salmoniformes; Salmonidae. The record is from Ensembl.